AGAACGAACGCUGGCGGCAUGCCUAAUACAUGCAAGUCGAACGAACUCUUCGGAGUUAGUGGCGCACGGGUGCGUAACGCGUGGGAAUCUGCCCUUGGGUUCGGAAUAACAGUUGGAAACGACCGCUAAUACCGGAUGAUGACGAAAGUCCAAAGAUUUAUCGCCCAGGGAUGAGCCCGCGUAGGAUUAGCUAGUUGGUGAGGUAAAGGCUCACCAAGGCGACGAUCCUUAGCUGGUCUGAGAGGAUGAUCAGCCACACUGGGACUGAGACACGGCCCAGACUCCUACGGGAGCAGC
Molecule: ribosomal RNA, 297 nt
Filed under: uncultured soil bacterium
Lineage: Bacteria
Description: partial 16S ribosomal RNA
Rfam family: Bacterial small subunit ribosomal RNA
Source: RNAcentral